Molecule: ribosomal RNA, 429 nt
Filed under: bacterium
Lineage: Bacteria
Description: partial 16S ribosomal RNA
Rfam family: Bacterial small subunit ribosomal RNA
Source: RNAcentral
UGGGGAAUCUUCCGCAAUGGACGAAAGUCUGACGGAGCAACGCCGCGUGAGUGAUGACGGCCUUCGGGUUGUAAAGCUCUGUUAAUCGGGACGAAUGGUUCUUGUUCGAAUAGUGCAAGGAUUUGACGGUACCGGAAUAGAAAGCCACGGCUAACUACGUGCCAGCAGCCGCGGUAAUACGUAGGUGGCAAGCGUUGUCCGGAAUUAUUGGGCGUAAAGCGCGCGCAGGCGGAUUGGUCAGUCUGUCUUAAAAGUUCGGGGCUUAACCCCGUGAUGGGAUGGAAACUGCCAAUCUAGAGUAUCGGAGAGGAAAGUGGAAUUCCUAGUGUAGCGGUGAAAUGCGUAGAUAUUAGGAAGAACACCAGUGGCGAAGGCGACUUUCUGGACGAAAACUGACGCUGAGGCGCGAAAGCCAGGGGAGCGAACGGG